RNAcentral lists this ribosomal RNA (235 nucleotides) under uncultured bacterium. Its description in RNAcentral is "partial 16S ribosomal RNA". It matches the Rfam family "Bacterial small subunit ribosomal RNA", at positions 15 to 233 of the family's 1533-position model. The record is from RNAcentral.
GAUAUGGCUCAGGAUGAACGCUGGCGGCGUGCUUAACACAUGCAAGUCGAACGAAGCGCUUAAGAUUGAUUCUUCGGAUGAAGUCUUUUGUGACUGAGUGGCGGACGGGUGAGUAACGCGUGGGUAACCUGCCUCAUACAGGGGGAUAACAGUUAGAAAUGACUGCUAAUACCGCAUAAGCGCACGGUGUCGCAUGACACAGUGUGAAAAACUCCGGUGGUAUGAGAUGGACCCG